AAUGAAAAUUAAGUCAAUAAAUAUUACCUUUUGUUGAUCUGAGAUAAAGUUCCACCCAUGUUGCCCAACAGCUCCCAAGUCUUCAGCCAACAGAGUCAGGAACCACUUCCAAGUGUCCUUGCACUCAUUCGGUACCACUGCAAAGGCCACCACAUAAAAGUGGUUGUUGGCAUCUUGACCCACUGCACUUAACAGUUGUCCACCAUAAUACCCUUUUAAAAAGCAUCCGUCUAAUCCAAUUAAAGGCCUACACCCCUCUUUGAACCCCUUCUUACAGGCUUACAUGCAUAUGUACAACCGAUCAAACAGAGGGAGAGAUUCAGGCUGAGGAAUAACCUCCAUCAGUGCUGUUGAACCAGGGUUACUUCUAUGUAACUCCAUCAGGUAAUCCCG
This 393-nucleotide long non-coding RNA is filed under the name Arachis ipaensis. RNAcentral's name for it is "long non-coding RNA (AIPA_LNC000834)". Lineage: Eukaryota; Viridiplantae; Streptophyta; Magnoliopsida; Fabales; Fabaceae. The record is from RNAcentral.